UUAUGUGCCUGAAUAAAGGGUUAAUUUGAUAGAUUAAAUAAUGAAAUAUAUCAA
This 54-nucleotide transfer RNA is filed under the name Trichonephila clavata. RNAcentral describes it as "tRNA-Ile". The record is from RNAcentral. Lineage: Eukaryota; Metazoa; Arthropoda; Arachnida; Araneae; Nephilidae.